GACGAACGCUGGCGGCGUGCUUAACACAUGCAAGUCGUACGGUAAGGCCCUUUAGGGGGUACACGAGUGGCGAACGGGUGAGUAACACGUGAGUAACCUGCCCACAACUUUGGGAUAACGCUAGGAAACUGGUGCUAAUACUGGAUAUGUGCUCCUGCUGCAUGGUGGGGGUUGGAAAGCUCCGGCGGUUGUGGAUGGACUCGCGGCCUAUCAGCUUGUUGGUGGGGUAGUGGCCUACCAAGGCGGCGACGGGUAGCCGGCCUGAGAGGGUGACCGGCCACAUUGGGACUGAGAUACGGCCCAGACUCCUACGGGAGGCAGCAGUGGGGAAUAUUGCACAAUGGGCGCAAGCCUGAUGCAGCAACGCCGCGUGCGGGAUGACGGCCUUCGGGUUGUAAACCGCUUUCAGCAGGGACGAAGCUUUUUGUGACGGUACCUGCAGAAGAAGCACCGGCUAACUACGUG
This 465-nucleotide ribosomal RNA is filed under the name uncultured bacterium. Its description in RNAcentral is "partial 16S ribosomal RNA". It matches the Rfam family "Bacterial small subunit ribosomal RNA", at positions 28 to 507 of the family's 1533-position model. The record is from RNAcentral.